UGGGCUUCUUUUUCUAUUGCCGGUGUUCAAGGAAGGCCGCUGGCUUGGAGUGAAAGCCUAGGCGCCGUAUCCGUCUGGCCGGGGACCUCCUCCUUGCAGGUGCAGCUCGAGAGCACGCUCAACAGCCAGAGCAUGUACCAGCCCAGCUGCGUCGGGGUGUGAGCGCCCAGUCUUGUGUCUCAUCAUUGGAGCAGCAGUGUGAUUUUAUUUUUCUGAAAUCAGCUCUUUGGAUUUGUCUUUGUGUGCAUCCACUAUUUGUUUCCUUUCUACAUUCGUCCACUCAACUCAACCUCAAAAUUUAUUUUUGUUACAGGUUUUAAUCACUCAUUUGAGGGUUCAGUAAGCUGGUGUAAUCUCGUGAAAGCAACUGGCAGAAAAUUAGUAUGUGAAGGCAUCAUGAAAUGAAGAAAGAGCUAGACUAGGGAAAUUGCAACGUUGAUGUAUCAUCAAAUGAUAAUCUGAAGUUUCUUGAAUUGUUACUCAUUUUUCUCUCUUCGAGUUCCAUUUACACCAAUAUCAUCACAGAAAAGUUGCCAUAGACUUUUUACAGGGCAACAAAAAUGAAUGGGUCCCCGGGUUGCAAGGGAAAUUCAUAGUUCUGACAUUAUCUUGUGAUGGUGCGGGUUUAUUGUACCCUCUGAAAUUCCUCCAUACUGGUGAACUUGGAAAUUUCCCACACCAGAAUAUCUCUUUGAAGGUUGGUGUCCCUAUAAUGUUGUUGAAUAAAACAAUCAAUGGACAGGGUUGUGCAACAGAACUUGGCUCAUUGUUAAAAGGUUAAGGCCAGACAUUGGAUAUGGAAAGUGUUUAUUUAUCAAAGCAUGUAUUUUCUCAUGAAAAGUCCCAAGAGUCACAAUGGAUAAAAAGACUGUAAAUACUUGCAAUAGACGACAAUGGUAUAGCAGCUACUGAAACUACAACUAUCUUCUACUAGGAGCAAACACCGGAAUCUCACCUUCAGAUUAUAGUUGUUCUGAAAGGGAGAAGGAAAGAAGUAUCCUAACUGAUGAAACAGACAUUCUGCAACGAGACCUCCAUUUUGUCAGCACCUGCCAUCGAGAAAACCAUUUCAAGUGUUAUUUGUCUACUCAGCCUUGUAGUGAGUAUGGAACAUAAGUAUCCAUGCAAUUGUACCAAAAAUAUUAUCCACCCGCUGUUGUAAGAAGUACGGACACUACCGAUGUACCGUGGCAUCAAGUAUCUAAGGAUCCGUGCAUAAUUAUUGUAACAACCGUUUUAGCUUAUUAUGUGUA
Long non-coding RNA from Lolium rigidum, 1253 nucleotides. RefSeq lists it as uncharacterized. The record is from RefSeq and is a predicted model, not a curated record. The transcript has 4 exons. NCBI's taxonomy places the organism in Eukaryota, Viridiplantae, Streptophyta, Magnoliopsida, Poales, Poaceae.